Molecule: unclassified non-coding RNA, 1611 nt
Filed under: Hevea brasiliensis (rubber tree)
Lineage: Eukaryota; Viridiplantae; Streptophyta; Magnoliopsida; Malpighiales; Euphorbiaceae
Source: RNAcentral
CUCUUAUCUCUCCCUCUCCCACUUGACAUACAGCUUCUCAUGCCUAAGCUGAAUGAGGCGAGUACGAGGCAAGUAUAAACGAACUCAAGUGAGACGAUACCAUGUUUAUUAGCUCAUGUUUAAACAUGCUGAAUUCGAACAUUAAUAUUAAAACUUCCAUUGAACUCGUCUCUUGCACAAAAUUAGCCAAGGAGUUAUGAUGCUUAAUUCAGACGUUUAUCGGAAGCAUUGUUUGUCGAAGGCAGGAGUUGCAGCAAUAGUUAUAAAACUCUCAUGCCCAGCCAGAUGGUUGAUAGAGCGGCAAAAAGUUUAAGCUGAGCCACCCCUCUGGCCUCCGGUUGGUGAAGUCCUGAAGCAGUCCAGCUAGCCGUCAGCGAGGGAGCUUAUCGUGUUUUUGAGUUAGAUUCUCUCCAAACUCUGCUCCAGCUGAGGACAUUCAUGGGAUAUCAUUUGGUCCAUCAGGGCCCUUAUCCCUUGUCUAUCUAAGGUACCAUUUUUUGCAAAUUCUGCAAGUUGCUUGGAAUGUUGUAUAUUCAAGUUCCUUGUAAUUGGAUUGUAGCAAACCCACCUCAGCUUUUUAAUGCUAUGGAUGCAGUUAAAAAAAAUAUAUAGAACACUCAUCUGUGCAUAAUCAUAAAGAUAAAGACGAGUUUAUCUUAAACUAAUUGCGUUCUUUCUUUUUCUUUUUUUUUCUUUCAAUCAGCACAAUAAUCUUUCAAAAUAUAUUUUUUUUUCUUUUGUCAUCAUCAUCAUCAUCAUCAAAGAAAUUCCAAGAUCAUCAGCAAUUAACUCCUAAUACCAACCCUCUCUCUAGCCUCCCAUCUUUAGCUUAUGACUCCAAUGACCUCAGUCUUGCUUUUGCUAGUCUCCAAAAGCAGUCUAGUGGGCAGUUAGGGUUUGAUGAGCAUGAUCUGUCUAUUUUGGGAAACCCACACAACCCCCAUUGUGAUAUGCUUGGAAAUCCAAACAUUCACACUUCAGCUGCAACUCCUUCCUUUCUUGAUGCUCUAAGAUGUGGGUUUCUUGAUGCCCAAAGCAAUAACUUACAAAACUUGUACUAUGGGUAUGGAAAUGGGAACAUGGUUGAGGUGGAAAAUAGUGGGGUUUGUAGUGCUAGUGGAGAAAUGAUGAUACCCUAUGAAGAUAUGAGUGGUGCAGCCACACAAGCUGUGACAGUGACAACAAUGAAGCAAGAAUUACGCAAUGGUAGGGAAGAUGAAAAUAAUAAGGUCUUAUGGGGCUUCCCAUGGCAGCUCAAUGGAAAUGGGAUAGGCGGUGAUCUUGAUCCAGGAAAAGAAAGCUGGAACGGACUUGGUUCAACUUGGCAUGGACUUCUUGAUAGUCCCCUAAUGUACUAGUCCAAAAUUUGUUAAUUUCAGCUACCCAGCCUUAGCCUAUAUAAUCCCAAGAAAAAGCAUAGAAUUUUCUUCUCAGUUUAGGCCUCCUUGAGAGUUUUUGUGUUAAGAGCUAUGAUUCAUCACCUGAAUCAUGCAUCUCUCUAUUUUGAAUUAUUAUUAUUAAUUAUAUAUUUUUUUUCUUCUUUUCUUUUGUUUGCUAUCAUUGGUUUUUAUACUAAUGAAAUUUGAAAUUUGUUUGCUAACCAAGUAAGGA